This 313-nucleotide unclassified non-coding RNA is filed under the name plant metagenome. Its description in RNAcentral is "partial contains 5.8S ribosomal RNA, internal transcribed spacer 2, and large subunit ribosomal RNA". The stretch from base 1 to 104 matches the Rfam family "5.8S ribosomal RNA", at positions 50 to 154 of the family's 154-position model. The record is from RNAcentral.
GAAAUGCGAUAAUUAAUGUGAAUUGCAGAAUUCAGUGAAUCAUCGAGUCUUUGAACGCACAUUGCGCCCCCUGGUAUUCCGGGGGCAUGUCUGUCCGAGCGUCAUUGCUGCCCUCAAGCACGGCUUGUGUGUUGGGCUUCCGUCCCUGGCAACGGGGACGGGCCCAAAAGGCAGUGGCGGCACCAUGUCUGGUCCUCGAGCGUAUGGGGCUUUGUCACCCGCUCCCGUAGGUCCAGCUGGCAGCUAGCCUCGCAACCAAUCUUUUUAACCAGGUUGACCUCGGAUCAGGUAGGGAUACCCGCUGAACUUAAGC